AACAGGAUUAGAUACCCUGGUAGUCCACGCCGUAAACGAUGAGUGCUAAGUGUUAGAGGGUUUCCGCCCUUUAGUGCUGCAGCUAACGCAUUAAGCACUCCGCCUGGGGAGUACGGCCGCAAGGCUGAAACUCAAAGGAAUUGACGGGGGCCCGCACAAGCGGUGGGGCAUGUGGUUUAAUUCGAAGCAACACGAAGAACCUUACCAGGUCUUGACAUCCUCUGACCUCCCUGGAGACAGGGCCUUCCCCUUCGGGGGACAGAGUGACAGGUGGUGCAUGGUUGUCGUCAGCUCGUGUCGUGAGAUGUUGGGUUAAGUCCCGCAACGAGCGCAACCCUUGACCUUAGUUGCCAGCAUUGAGUUGGGCACUCUAAGGUGACUGCCGGUGACAAACCGGAGGAAGGUGGGGAUGACGUCAAAUCAUCAUGCCCCUUAUGACCUGGGCUACACACGUGCUACAAUGGAUGGUACAAAGGGCUGCGAGACCGCGAGGUUAAGCCAAUCCCAGAAAACCAUUCCCAAUUCGGAUUGCAGGCUGCAACCCGCCUGCAUGAAGCCGGAAUCGCUAGUAAUCGCGGAUCAGCAUGCCGCGGUGAAUACGUUCCCGGGCCUUGUACACACCGCCCGUCACACCACGAGAGUUUGUAACACCCGAAGUCGGUGAGGUAACCUUUACGGAGCCAGCCGCCGAAGGUGGGACAGAUGAUUGGGGUGAAGUCGUAACAAGGUAACC
This 733-nucleotide ribosomal RNA is filed under the name uncultured bacterium. RNAcentral's name for it is "bacterial SSU rRNA". It matches the Rfam family "Bacterial small subunit ribosomal RNA", at positions 771 to 1501 of the family's 1533-position model. The record is from RNAcentral.